GUCCGGUAGGAUAAAAAGGUGGAAGAAGAGUGAAUUUGCUCUUUCCCUCCUUAAGCUGAGAUAUCUGUCUCCUGCCCGCAGACAUCAGAGCUCCUGUUUUCAGGUCUUUGGACCCCAGAAUUCACAUCAACAUUCCUUCUGGUUCUCAGGCCUUUCAACUUUGACUGAAUUACAUCACCAGCUUCCCUGGUUCUCCUGCUUGCAGAUGGCAGAUUCUUGGCUUCAUAAUCUUGUCCUUCUCCAGAAUUCAGACAACUCUGAAAAUCCAAGUCUGUUGCUAGAAGAUAUCUCACCCUAAGAACACAUAAUUUUGGUGCCCUAAUUUUAUAUGAGGUGCUUAGUCAGCAGAACUUCCCAGCACCUAUACCAGCAAACAAAUUAGAUUGAUAUUAUCAAGUACUGUUGGUCGUGUGAGACAAUGGAUACUUUCAUAUACACCUUUUGGGAAUUUAACAUGAUGUAGAGUUUUUAAAACUGCAAACAGAUUCUACUGACAAAACUGUAAGUGCAAGUAUUCUUCCACUAACCAAAACUGAGUGAGUACCUAUGUCAGAUCAAUAGUGUGUGUGUGU
This is a non-coding RNA of Macaca mulatta (Rhesus monkey), 572 nucleotides long. The record is from RefSeq and is a predicted model, not a curated record. NCBI's taxonomy places the organism in Eukaryota, Metazoa, Chordata, Mammalia, Primates, Cercopithecidae.